RNAcentral lists this ribosomal RNA (477 nucleotides) under uncultured bacterium. RNAcentral describes it as "partial 16S ribosomal RNA". It matches the Rfam family "Bacterial small subunit ribosomal RNA", at positions 28 to 507 of the family's 1533-position model. The record is from RNAcentral.
GAUGAACGCUGGCGGCGUGCCUAACACAUGCAAGUCGAACGAAGCGCCUUACCUGAUUCUUCGGAUGAAAGUUUGGUGACUGAGUGGCGGACGGGUGAGUAACGCGUGGGUAACCUGCCCUGUACAGGGGGAUAACAGCUGGAAACGGCUGCUAAUACCGCAUAAGCGCACGAGGAGACAUCUCCUUGUGUGAAAAACUCCGGUGGUACAGGAUGGGCCCGCGUCUGAUUAGCUGGUUGGCAGGGUAACGGCCUACCAAGGCAACGAUCAGUAGCCGGUCUGAGAGGAUGAACGGCCACAUUGGAACUGAGACACGGUCCAAACUCCUACGGGAGGCAGCAGUGGGGAAUAUUGCACAAUGGGGGAAACCCUGAUGCAGCAACGCCGCGUGAGUGAAGAAGUAUUUCGGUAUGUAAAGCUCUAUCAGCAGGGAAGAUAAUGACGGUACCUGACUAAGAAGCUCCGGCUAAAUACGUG